This 253-nucleotide ribosomal RNA is filed under the name uncultured bacterium. RNAcentral describes it as "partial 16S ribosomal RNA". It matches the Rfam family "Bacterial small subunit ribosomal RNA", at positions 524 to 776 of the family's 1533-position model. The record is from RNAcentral.
UACGGAGGGGGCAAGCGUUGUUCGGAAUUACUGGGCGUAAAGGGCGCGUAGGCGGACCAUUAAGUUAGGGGUGAAAGGCCUGGGCUCAACCUGGGAACGGCCUCUAAGACUGAUGGCCUGGAGUCCGGAAGAGGAUGGCGGAAUUCCCAGUGUAGAGGUGAAAUUCGUAGAUAUUCGGAGGAACACCAGAAGCGAAGGCGACCCCCUGGUUGGAUACUGACGCUGAGACGCGAAAGCGUGGGGAGCAAACAGG